Long non-coding RNA from Triticum dicoccoides, 311 nucleotides. RefSeq lists it as uncharacterized. The record is from RefSeq and is a predicted model, not a curated record. The transcript is spliced from 3 exons. NCBI's taxonomy places the organism in Eukaryota, Viridiplantae, Streptophyta, Magnoliopsida, Poales, Poaceae.
UUGCUGCAACAAACAGUUUCCAUGACACAAACGUACUUGGAAAAGGAGGUUUUGGCAAAGUCUAUAAGGGAAUACUAGAAGAUGGAAAGGAAGUUGCUGUUAAAAGGCUUAGCAAGGGUUCUGAUCAGGGGAUAGAGCAUUUUAGAAAUGAAGUGGUUCUUAUUGCCAAAUUGCAGCACAAGAAUCUAGUUAGACUUCUUGGCUGUUGUAUUCAUGAGGAUGAGAAGUUGCUUAUUUAUGAAUACUUACCCAACAAAAGCCUGGACCAGUUUCUUUUUGAUAUUGCAAGGAAGUUCAUGCUUGAUUGGCCG